AUACGGAGGGAGCUAGCGUUGUUCGGAAUUACUGGGCGUAAAGCGUACGCAGGCGGCUUGGUAAGUAGAGGGUGAAAUCCCAGAGCUCAACUCUGGAACUGCCCCCUAAACUGCCGAGCUAGAAUCCUGGAGAGGUGAGUGGAAUUCCUAGUGUAGAGGUGAAAUUCGUAGAUAUUAGGAAGAACACCAGUGGCGAAGGCGACUCACUGGACAGGUAUUGACGCUGAGGUACGAAAGCGUGGGGAGCGAACAGGAUUAGAAACCCUUGUAGUCC
This 274-nucleotide ribosomal RNA is filed under the name uncultured bacterium. RNAcentral's name for it is "partial 16S ribosomal RNA". It matches the Rfam family "Bacterial small subunit ribosomal RNA", at positions 523 to 796 of the family's 1533-position model. The record is from RNAcentral.